AAAAAAAAAAAAAAAAAAAAAAAAAAAAAAAGCAGCGACGGAAAGAUACUGGGAAAUAAAAAUAUCCAAAAUUGCAAUUACGAUAGAAGGAGAAUCGUGCGAGAGGGGAGAUAAAAAACGAGAAGAGAAAUUAGAAUGUGACACCGAAAUUGGAAAACGAUGGGAAAGAGACAAAGGUGAGGGAAGAUAACGAGAUAACGAAAGCUUGACGACGAGAAGAAAAGAAAGCAAAGUGCGAACGCGAAGAAGGAGGAUAAAACGAGGAGAGUGGAGAACCGAGCGCAGCUAAAUCGCGAACCACUAUUUUCCUCUGGCUGAUUCUAACUUCUGAUCUCGAUUCGUCCACGCUUUCUCUCUUUCAGUUCUCCAUCUCGCUCUUCUUCCGUCUCUUCCUCUCCUUCGAUGCACACCAUCCAAAUAUAACGGCCACGCUAAUUCACGUCCAGCAGCCGUAGCCACCAAAAUAUGAAUCCACCUUAGACGCAAAUAUAGACGAAGGUAUUUCUGGAUCAGCCGAGAACAGCCAAUGAAGACUGGUGAGAGCCCUUGUCCACCGCUGCUUCAGAAUGCGGUCGUUAAAACGUCGAACAUCGUUAAAACGUUGCUUGUCUGGACAAUUAUAUCGUUGAUCGUGUCAAACAGAUAUUUUUCAUUUUUUGAUAUUUUGUAUUAAUAAUCGUAUGCUUUCUUCGGAUCUUCGAUUGAAAAUUAAUAGAUUCUGAUCUUCGAUUUUACUGUGACAAAUUU
Molecule: long non-coding RNA, 747 nt
Organism: Bombus impatiens (common eastern bumble bee)
Lineage: Eukaryota; Metazoa; Arthropoda; Insecta; Hymenoptera; Apidae
Exons: 2
Source: RefSeq, a predicted model, not a curated record